RNAcentral lists this long non-coding RNA (866 nucleotides) under Canis lupus familiaris (dog). RNAcentral's name for it is "lncRNA (ENSCAFG00845015212.1)". Lineage: Eukaryota; Metazoa; Chordata; Mammalia; Carnivora; Canidae. The record is from RNAcentral.
AUAAAGGGUAGUGAGAUUGUCUUUCAGAUGAUUGUCGCGAAAACUCAAGGUCCUGAAACACCUGAGCAGGUGACAUUUGAACUCUCCAUGUGUAGUGCUGUAUUUUAACUGAAAUAUCGGGCUUACAACGAACCGAAGAUCGUGACUUCUCCCAAACUCCAAGGAAUAGAAGCGCCGGUUUCUGCUUAUUAUUCGCUGUUUCUGAUGGCCAAGAGCAAGGGGCAGUCAAGGCCAUUAAUGCAGAACUGGAAUUCAGCGAGGAGCGCCUCUUCUGCAGACUGCCCCCCGCUAGGGCGCGGGGAGGGCACCGGUUCCUCUGCGCGGAAAGGAGGGGGAGAAAGUCGCUAAGAGAAAAAUCCGGUGUGGCCCAGAUCUCCGGGUGCACAUUCCCGGGAGAGGAGCGCGCCGUUUCCAGCGCGGUGCAGCGCUCCGAGCGGCGGCCACCAGCGACCCAGCGCGCGAGCACAACGCGACCCACGAAGGGGGCUCGCGGGAGGCACCAAGAAGCACCGGCGCAUCAGAGCGGAGAACCCGCAGCCGAACCUUGCCGGGGCGCACCCAGCACCGGGGCGGGGGCCAGGACUUCGCUUCCACCGCAUGGGAUGAGCUGUGCAAGGUGGAGGAAGGCGGCGCAGAGCCGGGGGACGAAGCCCGGACCGGACAGGAAUCCCGGGGAGAAAGAAGGGAGCCCCAGCCUGGCCAGGAGGGGCAUUUUUGUCAGAGGGGGUAUUGGGGGAGUCCCUGAGCGCCGCGGAUUCCAGGGGGGCAGCGCGGACGCCCAUUCCCUGUUCUCCCCCGAGAGAAGCGGUUCCCGUGGGGCAGGAAGGGCUCUCAGCUCUUUGAGAUUGAGAUUCACAGGAAUCUAA